This 95-nucleotide non-coding RNA is filed under the name human gut metagenome. RNAcentral's name for it is "SAM riboswitch (S box leader)". It matches the Rfam family "SAM riboswitch aptamer (S box leader)". Rfam says of the family: The SAM riboswitch is found upstream of a number of genes which code for proteins involved in methionine or cysteine biosynthesis in Gram-positive bacteria. The SAM riboswitch acts at the level of transcription termination control. The record is from RNAcentral.
CUUAUCAAGAGUGACGGAGGGAACAGGCCCUGUGAUGUCCGGCAACCUGCCUUUGGCAAGGUGCUAAAUCCUGCGGUGUAUGCCGGAAGAUGAGG